Molecule: ribosomal RNA, 408 nt
Filed under: uncultured bacterium
Lineage: Bacteria
Description: bacterial SSU rRNA
Rfam family: Bacterial small subunit ribosomal RNA
Source: RNAcentral
GAUGAACGCUGGCGGCGUGCCUAAUACAUGCAAGUCGAACGCGCAGCGAAAGGUGCUUGCACCCUUCAAGCGAGUGGCGAACGGGUGAGUAACACGUGGAUAACCUGCCUCAAGGCUGGGGAUAACAUUUGGAAACAGAUGCUAAUACCGAAUAAAACUUAGUAUCGCAUGAUACAAAGUUGAAAGGCGCUACGGCGUCACCUAGAGAUGGGUCCGCGGUGCAUUAGUUAGUUGGUGGGUAAAGGCCUACCAAGACAAUGAUGCAUAGCCGAGUUGAGAGACUGAUCGGCCACAUUGGGACUGAGACACGGCCCAAACUCCUACGGGAGGCUGCAGUAGGGAAUCUUCCACAAUGGGCGAAAGCCUGAUGGAGCAACGCCGCGUGUGUGAUGAAGGCUUUAGGGUCGU